ACACCCCAAACUGGGGGCUGCCAGCAUCGCUCGGGGCAGGCUGAGCCAACCCAUUUAAUUUGCACAGGGUUUGCUUUGCAAAUGCUCUUUUGAAUAUGCUACUGAGAAAUGCCCCAUUUCUCUGGCUUUUCUUCCAGGGCCUGGGACACGUCCCGUUCCCCAAACAGGCCCCGAACGGAGUCACCCAGCAAGCGCCAGCACCGUGAAUAGUCGCAGCACAAAUUCCUCGUGUCAGCUCUUCUGUAACUGAUGUCCCCCCCGCGCCAAGCAGCUCCAGGACCUGCUGCUGCUGCUCCCGGCCGAGCUUUCCAAGGCAGCUUCAAAGAAGCAACAAAGUGAUGAGCACUUCUAAUGGCCUCACUUUGUGUGUUUUAACCUGGGAGAUAGACAUCCACUGUGUGGGCUGGGUAACAGGUGAUGCACUCUCAAGUAAAUAUAUACACACUGAAGAGGAAUGUGGAAACCCUUCUAGGGUUUAUUUAACGUGCUACGGAGAUACAAGGUUAUGACUCUUCCAGAAAAACUAGAGGAACUAGCUCUGAUCCUUCAGAAAAGAAAAAGGGGCUUUGAGUCGUUUACAAAAAAUAAAGGCAAGAAUUGAGACCUCUAAAUAUCUUUUAUCACCUUCAAAUACUGCGGCUAAGCUGCACAAGCGGGGAUCCAGUUACACCCUGAACAUUGCCUUUCAUGCAAAACCCAUCUCCGUAUGCUUCAGGGCCCUAAUUAGGGUGUUAUGACCAAGAGAAAAAGAAAAAAAAAUCAGAGAUGUGAGCAAGCAUGGGUUCAGAUAAGCUUUGAGUAAGGUGGGAGAGGCAGUGAAGCGGAGAGCUAAUGUCAUCUCCCGGUAGGGGUCAAGAAUUUAAGCCCUGAGUGUGCAGGAUGGGUGGGCCCAGAAGGAAUGCCAGAUGACUUUAAAUAGCAGAAGGAGCUAACGUACAGACGAGAUGCCAUGGGGGAGAACACAAGCAGCUCGCAGAGCAAGAUUUCUGCCGUCUCUUUUUAAAAAAUGAGUUACAGAAGGCAGGGAAAAAUACUGCGAGGUGAAUGCCGAGGGGGCAGAUUCGUGCAGACUCCUUACCUCUGUCAUUGGAUGGGCUGUCUCCCGGAGCACGCUACCGUAUGAUUAGUUCUUGAAUUAAUUAGGAGCAUAACGAGCGGCCCAUCCUCCCUGUGGUCAGUGCUCUGAACCUCAUUAGCACCAGCGCACAGCCCAUUAGCAGGAGGCUUGCAACAUCAAACCCUCCGAAGGCUGGCUGGUGAGCAGGACGGGAUUUGGCAGCCUCUAACAAGUGCAAGAGCUGCAAGCAUCCCUGGGGAUGAAGACCUGCGCAUGCGAAGGCCUGACAGCGUGGCACACGGGAAGCUCCUCAGGGACCAUCCAGGCCCGUGGAGAAUACCAAGCAUUUUUUGCAGGCUUUCUCCUUCUGUCCUGCUGGAGAGCGCUGGCGUCGCUUUGAACUGCUCGGUGCUCGCGGUCUCGGGAUGUGUUGUUUCCCAGGGGCCAACAAGAGAGAACUUGCAAAUUGCUGAUAGCCAAGCAAAAAGAAAAAAAAGAAAAAAAAAAAAGAAAAAAAAAAAAGAAAAAAAAAAGGCAUGCAGUAACGUUUGGCUUUGCAGCUUAUUUUCUGAGGAAGGUGGUUUGGGGUUGCAUUUUCCCCCUGCAUUUUCACACAUAACUACAUUAGUAUAAUCUGAGUCAUGUCUGCGUAUUUACAAAGAAACAGAUCCCCAAGGAGUUUAUGGAUUUGUCAUCCCAGCGCUGAAUCCCGGAGAAUGAUCCUUCCAGACCAUAAUGAGAUAUUGUGUUUGCUUCUGGAGACAAAGCUUGCCUUUGGAUGCCCAUCCAGCUUUUCCAGAGACGUGAAUAAGAGUCAUGUGUACGUAACCCUGCUGCCAGGGCUUUGGGCAGCAGUGAGGGCUGGGUUCAAGCACUAAGGCAUCACUGCAAAACCUCUAGCUUGAGCUCACACCUGGGAAAAACAGGCUAAGCUAUCUGAUGGUCAGUCAUCUCUCUGCUUUCUCACACAGGAGUCAGAUGGGCAGCACAAAAUAUGCUUACUUCUGGAGAAAGGAGUAGUUGAACAAGGUAAUUAAACAGCAUCACAAUAACGAAUUCCUAAAUUGUAUUGGUUUCAAUUUCUCUUCCUUUGGGAUAAAGCUGCUUGGCAGCUUUCCUGCUGCUGCGUCACCUCCACUGGUGGUUUGAGAGUUGGUCUUGCAAAGACACGAGCCUGUGCUCUGCAAACAUGUCUCUGCUGCAUGCUGCUCUGCUGGGGCUUUCUGUCACUGCAGCUCCUGCUCAGGGCACAGGGAGCUGAUUGCAGAAGCUCUGAAGCCACAUCUACACAUCCCACACUCCUUGCAAGAAAUGGUCACCAGUGGUCUCCUGCAAUUGCUCUAUCCAGAGCUGUACCUUCCCUUUGCAGCUCAGAUGCUGAAAGCUGCGGGUUUAGGUUGAGGGAGCCACUCAUCCCAGGCUUCUUCUGCAAAAUUUUGUUGGCCACACUUGUGCACAUCAAUGCAAUCACCAACUUUCCUGCAUAUAAUGUUAUUUAAUCAGGUGCACCUCUCAGGCGUAAUAACGCAGCACAUGUAAACCAUAUCCUCUCCAGCCAUGGCCACUGUAUCUUUGUUUCAUUUUACCUGGUAGCAAACCCCUGGAUUUGGGCACUUCUGCCCAAAGGACAAGGAGAAGCUUUUAAGAUGCAUGUGGCUUUCUGUAGUAUGUGCAUUAUGUGCACCGUAUCUCCACCUGAGACUGGCUAAGCACGCAGGACCUCAGCUCUCCAGCUGAAUCAGUUGAGUUAUUUGCAUCCAGAACUGACAAGAAAGUGCAAGGAUCCCAGAAUCAAGUACAUCUGGAGCACAAUGUUCAUGGAUUAUUUUUUUUCCCUAAUCUUCAGCAGUUACUGAUUGGAUCACCCCUUGAAGUGGCUCGCAGACCAUUUCUUUCUCUCGAUGUUCCUGCUGGGCCUGUUGGUCACGUUAUUGCCCUCUGUCUGUGGAGUCAGGCUGAAAUAUCAGUUCCAGCACUGCCUUAUGGAAAUCACUGCCAUGAAUGAAGCACUUGCUGCUGCUGUCUCAGGAGAAACAAGAGGCCACAUAUCCAUGGUCCCGUGUGCAGGCAGAAUGAGAAAAUACCUGUUCAGUCAUGGCAGGCAAAGCCUGCAUUUUUCUCCAAAAGUAGUACUUCACUUUUGAAUGUUUAUACCUGCUGUCUGUCAUUUCCAUCUGAUGUCACUUUGCUCUGGUGUUAAAUAAAAGCAAAUAAUGUGUUCAGCUGAAUUUCUCUGUGUUACUUCAGCUGACAUGUUUUGUACUAUC
This is a non-coding RNA of Anas platyrhynchos (mallard), 3324 nucleotides long. The record is from RefSeq and is a predicted model, not a curated record. NCBI's taxonomy places the organism in Eukaryota, Metazoa, Chordata, Aves, Anseriformes, Anatidae.